RNAcentral lists this unclassified non-coding RNA (430 nucleotides) under soil metagenome. RNAcentral's name for it is "partial contains 5.8S ribosomal RNA, internal transcribed spacer 2, and large subunit ribosomal RNA". The stretch from base 1 to 120 matches the Rfam family "5.8S ribosomal RNA", at positions 35 to 154 of the family's 154-position model. The record is from RNAcentral.
GAUGAAGAACGUAGUGAAAUGCGAUACGUAAUGUGAAUUGCAGAAUUCAGUGAAUCAUCGAAUCUUUGAACGCAUAUUGCGCUCUCUGGUAUUCCGGAGAGCAUGCUUGUUUGAGUAUCAGUAAACACCUCAACUCCCUUUUCUUUUUUGAAAUUGGAGCUGGACUUGAGUGAUCCCAACGCUUUCUUCCAAGAAAGUGGCGGGUUGCUUGAAAUGCAGGUGCAGCUGAACUUUUCUCUGAGCUAUAAGCAUAUCUAUUUAGUCUGCCUAAAAAACAGAUUAUUACCUUUGCUGCAGCUAACAUAAAGGAGACUAGUUCUUGUGCUGACUGAUGCAGGAUUCACAGAGACAGCUCCGGCUGACUUUGUAAACUCGAUCUCAAAUCAAGUAAGACUACCCGCUGAACUUAAGCAUAUCAAUAAGCGGAGGA